UACGGAGGGUGCAAGCGUUGUCCGGAUUUAUUGGGUUUAAAGGGUGCGUAGGUGGUCCCGUUAAGUCCGGGGUGAAAGCCCACUGGCUCAACCAGUGGAACUGCCCUGGAUGACUGGCGGGCUUGAGUCCAGACGAGGUUGGCGGAAUGGAUGGUGUAGCGGUGAAAUGCAUAGAUACCAUCCAGAACCCCCGAUUGCGUAGGCAGCUGACUAGGCUGGUACUGACACUGAGGCACGAAAGCGUGGGGAGCGAACAGG
This 258-nucleotide ribosomal RNA is filed under the name uncultured bacterium. RNAcentral's name for it is "partial 16S ribosomal RNA". It matches the Rfam family "Bacterial small subunit ribosomal RNA", at positions 524 to 776 of the family's 1533-position model. The record is from RNAcentral.